UGCGUAGGCGGAUCAAUAAGUCAGUGGUGAAAUCUUGCAGCUUAACUGUAAAACUGCCAUUGAUACUGCGUUUCUUGAGUAUAGUUGAGGUAGGCGGAAUGUGUAAUGUAGCGGUGAAAUGCUUAGAUAUUACACAGAACACCGAUUGCGUAGGCAGCUUACUAAGCUAUAACUGACGCUGAGGCACGAAAGCGUGGGGAGCGAACAGGAUUAGAUACCCUGGUAGUCC
Molecule: ribosomal RNA, 229 nt
Filed under: uncultured bacterium
Lineage: Bacteria
Description: partial 16S ribosomal RNA
Rfam family: Bacterial small subunit ribosomal RNA
Source: RNAcentral